UAUCCAUCCCAGCUCUUCUACGGUCUAUCCGGGUCUCGUUUGGCGUCGCGCUCUUCUCUCUCCCGCAGUCUUGAGCGACGCGUGACACAGCGUAUCAGUGAGGAGUUGCAGCGCCGAGAGUUGUGGAUGAACACGUGCACAAAGACAGCCGCACACUUAUUCCCCGUUAUACGGUCAAGGCGCGCACAAGGGUGGUGGCUGCUGUGGUCUCUGUUCUUUCGCACAGGUUUCUCCAGAGUAAUCGAGGACCUUCGGCGCACCGUGCCUUUUUCUCCAUUUCUCAAUCCACUCCGCUUAUCCGUGUAAACGAUGGCCUCAGAAAGUCAUGACGAUAUCGUUGCUGAGCAAUCGUCGUCUGUGUGGUCUGUCCUUCGAGAAGAGGCACGUGAGCUUCGCUGGUACGUGCUGAUGGUCGCGUGCCUCCUCACUUUUGGGAGCUACUACAUCUACGACUUCCCUGGCUCCAUUGGCAGCGGCAGAGGCAACACAAUCGAGAACCACUUCAAAGCACAUCAGAAAAUCUACACGGAAAGCAUGAACCAGUACCUUUACAGUGUGUACGCAUGGCCGAAUACGAUCCUCUCCGCUCUGGGCGGCCUCCUCAUCGACAAGUAUCUCGGGCUGCGCGGGGCAAUGGUCCUCUUUUCCGUGCUCAUUCUCACUGGGGCCGUUCUCUUUUGCAUCGGCGUACACGCGACGACGUAUUGGAUUAUGUUUGUCGGCCGUAUCGUGUUUGGCCUGGGCGGGGAGUCGCUCAGCGUCUCUCAGUCCGCUUUUGUGGCGCGAUGGUUCAAGGGUCAUCGCGGCAUGGCGCUUGCUUUCGGGAUCACCAUCAGCUUCUCUCGCGUCGGCUCAUCAUUCAACUUUCUGUUCGCGCCAGCGAUCGCGAACAAGUGGAGUAUCGACGCGGCUGCCGUUUCCGGUAUUGCUGCCUGCCUCAUCUCCAUGCUUGCGUGCGUUGUGCUCGUGAUGGCCGACCGCCAUGCCGAACGUCGCGGCUACCUAUCCGUUACCGAAGAAGACGAGAGCGACUCGACGGAGGAGGACGAGGCGAUGUGUUCAGGCGUCUUGCAGAUGCCGUUGGCGUACUGGCUGCUCUGCGCUGUUUGUGUGUUUUGCUACACCGCCGUAUUUCCUUUCGUGGGUGUGGGCAAGAACUUCUUCCAGGUUAAGUACGGCUACACCGGCGACGCAGCAGCCCGCUGCCUUUCCUUCUAUCAGAUCACCUCAGCGGUGGCGAGCCCGGUCAUCGGCUUGGCGGUGGACUCGGUGGGCCGCAACACAUGGUGGCUCAUCCUCGCUUGCUCGUGCUUUGCUGCCAUCCACGUGCUGUUCAUGACGACGAUGAUCCCUGGCGCUGUUCUCAUGGUGCUAAUGGGGUGCUUCUACACCUUUCUGGUGUCGGGGCUCUGGCCCUCGGUGCCAUGGGCCGUGCCAAGCACAGUUGUGGGGGUGGCGUACGGCGCGAUGACCUCGAUCCAGAACAUCGGCUUGGCAUUGUUUCCGAUGCUUGUGGGGGCAAUCCUGGACCACUUCCGGCAAAACGGCAACAACACGGCAGAGCUGACGCAGGAUCUGCCACCGUUGGAGGCCUUCAUGUGGACCGAGGCGCUCUUUUUGGUUUCGGCUUUGAUUGCCUUUCUGGCGAGCGUGGCUUUGCUUGUGGAGGACCGGCGCACGGGAGGAGUGCUUAGUGCCGCGAGCGCCAAGCGGCCGCAGAUCAUAGAGGACCUCAGUCGGCUACAGAAUGACUUUGAGGGUGUCGUGCCAGACUUGGAAGGCGUGGAAUACGAGAGGGAGGAGCCGCAACGCCAGGUGACAGAGCCACUUACAGGCAACGCGCGCGCCGACGCUGUGGCCACCGAAGUGGCUACGCGGGCGCACUCCGGGAAGUGAGUUGUGCUUACGGUGACGAGCGUUGCGCUCUCUUCUAGCAUGCGCUGUCGAGGACAGGAUAUGAAGUGUGCAUUUUGCAGGUGAGUUUCGCCGCAUCCUACCUUGUUGUCGACACUAGUGGUCAUCGACGGCAGUGCCGCUACCGCCGCCCUCGUGACCCCGAGGGGGAUCAGCAGAACUGCGACUGCUGGUAAUCCACACAUUCUCUGGAAUCGGCUCCCGUCAAGGGUACUCGCGACCCUCUGUGCUGGGCAAUCGGUUAGGGCCGCCGAUGGAUUGAACUUCUAUGCCCGCCAAGUUGCUAUUUUUUUUUUGCGUGUUUGUUGUCGUUCGCCUGUGCUUGCUUCUCUUCGUGUAUGCGUUCUUGGCUGCUCCGCUGCUCGUGUCAUGCCGAGCUGGGCACCGCUGCUUUUUCCCCUCGCUCACUCACUCCUUUCUGCACUUGUUUGUUUUGUACCCUCUGUUCUGCUUUUCUCUCGGUGCGCGUCACCCCUCGACGUUAGCGCCAUUGCCAACUCG
This 2415-nucleotide unclassified non-coding RNA is filed under the name Leishmania donovani. Its description in RNAcentral is "gene:LdHU3.28.0180(CDS-product:Major_Facilitator_ Superfamily_putative)". Lineage: Eukaryota; Euglenozoa; Kinetoplastea; Trypanosomatida; Trypanosomatidae. The record is from RNAcentral.